UGGGGAAUAUUGGACAAUGGGGGCAACCCUGAUCCAGCAAUGCCGCGUGUGUGAAGAAGGUCUUCGGAUUGUAAAGCACUUUCGACGGGGACGAUGAUGACGGUACCCGUAGAAGAAGCCCCGGCUAACUUCGUGCCAGCAGCCGCGGUAAUACGAAGGGGGCUAGCGUUGCUCGGAAUGACUGGGUGUAAAGGGCGUGUAGGCGGUUUACACAGUCAGAUGUGAAAUCCCCGGGCUUAACCUGGGAGCUGCAUUUGAUACGUGUAGACUAGAGUGUGAGAGAGGGUUGUGGAAUUCCCAGUGUAGAGGUGAAAUUCGUAGAUAUUGGGAAGAACACCGGUGGCGAAGGCGGCAACCUGGCUCAUGACUGACGCUGAGGCGCGAAAGCGUGGGGAGCAAACAGGAUUAGAUACCCUGGUAGUCCACGCUGUAAACGAUGUGUGCUAGAUGUUGGGUAACUUUGUUAUUCAGUGUCGCAGUUAACGCG
RNAcentral lists this ribosomal RNA (487 nucleotides) under uncultured bacterium. RNAcentral's name for it is "partial 16S ribosomal RNA". It matches the Rfam family "Bacterial small subunit ribosomal RNA", at positions 355 to 859 of the family's 1533-position model. The record is from RNAcentral.